UCUUGUCUCUGGGUGGGUUCGGA
Molecule: microRNA, 23 nt
Filed under: Gallid alphaherpesvirus 1
Lineage: Duplodnaviria; Heunggongvirae; Peploviricota; Herviviricetes; Herpesvirales; Orthoherpesviridae
Description: iltv-miR-I3
Gene: iltv-miR-I3
Source: miRBase by way of RNAcentral